This 288-nucleotide ribosomal RNA is filed under the name uncultured bacterium. RNAcentral's name for it is "partial 16S ribosomal RNA". It matches the Rfam family "Bacterial small subunit ribosomal RNA", at positions 28 to 317 of the family's 1533-position model. The record is from RNAcentral.
GACGAACGCUGGCGGCGUGCUUAACACAUGCAAGUCGAGCGGUAAGGCCCUUUCGGGGGUACACGAGCGGCGAACGGGUGAGUAACACGUGGGUGACCUGCCCUCAGCUCUGGGAUAAGCCUGGGAAACCGGGUCUAAUACUGGAUAUGACCUCGUAUCGCAUGGUGCGGGGUGGAAAGUGUCAGCGGCUGAGGAUGGGCCCCGCUGCCUAUCAGCUUGUUGGGUGGGGGGUGGCCUACCAAGGCGACGACGGGUAGCCGGCCUGAGAGGGCGACCGGCCACACUGGG